RNAcentral lists this ribosomal RNA (253 nucleotides) under uncultured bacterium. RNAcentral describes it as "partial 16S ribosomal RNA". It matches the Rfam family "Bacterial small subunit ribosomal RNA", at positions 524 to 776 of the family's 1533-position model. The record is from RNAcentral.
UACGGAGGGUGCAAGCGUUAUCCGGAUUCACUGGGUUUAAAGGGUGCGUAGGCGGGUAAGUAAGUCCGUGGUGAAAUCUCUGAGCUUAACUCAGAAACUGCCGUGGAUACUAUUUGCCUUGAAUAUUGUGGAGGUGAGCGGAAUAUGUCAUGUAGCGGUGAAAUGCUUAGAUAUGACAUAGAACACCAAUUGCGAAGGCGGCUCGCUGGGCCACACCUGACGCUGAGACGCGAAAGCUAGGGGAGCGAACAGG